Molecule: ribosomal RNA, 459 nt
Filed under: uncultured bacterium
Lineage: Bacteria
Description: bacterial SSU rRNA
Rfam family: Bacterial small subunit ribosomal RNA
Source: RNAcentral
GACGAACGCUGGCGGCAUGCCUAACACAUGCAAGUCGAACGAGACCUUCGGGUCUAGUGGCGCACGGGUGCGUAACGCGUGGGAACCUGCCUUUAGGUUCGGAAUAACUCAGAGAAAUUUGAGCUAAUACCGGAUGAUGUCUUCGGACCAAAGAUUUAUCGCCUUUAGAUGGGCCCGCGUAAGAUUAGCUAGUUGGUGGGGUAAAGGCCUACCAAGGCGACGAUCUUUAGCUGGUCUGAGAGGAUGAUCAGCCACACUGGGACUGAGACACGGCCCAGACUCCUACGGGAGGCAGCAGUGGGAAUAUUGGACAAUGGGCGAAAGCCUGAUCCAGCAAUGCCGCGUGAGUGAUGAAGGCCUUAGGGUUGUAAAGCUCUUUUACCCGAGAUGAUAAUGACAGUAUCGGGAGAAUAAGCUCCGGCUAACUCCGUGCCAGCAGCCGCGGUAAAGUGACUACUG